Molecule: RNA transcript, 1891 nt
Organism: Mus musculus (house mouse)
Lineage: Eukaryota; Metazoa; Chordata; Mammalia; Rodentia; Muridae
Gene: Lysmd2
Gene name: LysM, putative peptidoglycan-binding, domain containing 2
Exons: 4
Source: RefSeq, marked validated
AGGUCGGUGAUAAGAGCACUGGCUUAGUGUGUGACUGAGGUCAGUACCUUGUCAAGGGUGUGCGCGUGAGUUGUGCGUGUGUGUUGGGAGGAUGUCAGAAGACCUGUACCACCCAGGUGGACAGGGACCUGUAUCUAUGUUCAGUGAUCUUAAGGUUUCCUGCCACCGAGAUUUUGAUGUCAUUAAGGGGGUACCACUGAGCAAGCAGGCUGCCCAAUGAGGAAUCCGGAAAGGCAAGCAAAGCUUGGUGGGGGUGUACUGUGGCCAGGGCAGGCUUUGGGCGGACUCUUUCUUGUCUGCACGGUUUUGGGGUCCACAUGGGUCCCAGGACUCCUCCGUGGGCCUCUGUCGGCUCACGGGCCUCGGCGAGCUCCCGCUUCCGCAGGGCCUUCUCCGACAGGACCCGCACACUGCAGUCCGGGCUCAGCUCCCUUAACCCCACCAGCACACGGACCUCUGGGGCCGUGGAGAAGCCGGCCGCGGAGGGCGGCGCGCGCCAUGCAGGUCCCGCAGCUCCCCGCCUCGGCCUCGCGCCUGCCGCCCCCGCGGCACGGCCAGCCGCAGCCCCAGUGAGGAGGAAGAGGCGGAGGAGGAGGCGCCGCCCCCUUGGCGAGCUCGGCGCCCGGGCGGCCUUGGCAGGACCCAUGGCGGAUCUCUCGCCUGCGCCGGCCCUGCGGGAAGGCGGCCCCCGUGCGCACCGGCCCUCGGCGCCCUCCCCUCCGCCGCGCUCUCGCUCCACCUCGGAGCCCGAGGAGGCCGAGCUGUCGCUGAGCCUGGCCCGCACCAAGACCCGCUCGUACGGCAGCACGGCCAGCGUGCGGGCGCCUCUGGGCGCCGGCGUCAUCGAGCGCCAUGUGGAGCACCGGGUCCGCGCCGGGGACACGCUUCAGGGCAUCGCGCUCAAGUACGGAGUCACGAAGUGAAAUUACACCCCUGUGCUCACUGGCGACCCUGAACGUGACACCUGUCUAAACAGCAGCCUGGAACUGUGGUCUAGAUGGAACAGAUCAAAAGGGCCAACAAACUGUUUACCAAUGACUGUAUAUUUCUGAAGAAGACGCUGAGCAUCCCAAUCCUGUCGGAGAAGCCUUUGCUGUUUAAUGGACUUAACUCCAUUGAUUCUCCGGAAAGUGAAACUGUCGACAGCAGCUUUUGUCAGGAAGAGGAGCCUGUAGUGUCUGAGGAAGAACUGCCCCCUCCCAGUCCUCAGGACCCGGACCCCAAGCCUGCGCAACCCGAGGAAGUGUCUGCCAGAGAUUUCCUGCAAAGACUGGACUUACAGAUUAAACUCUCAACACAGGCAGCCAGGAAACUCAAAGAAGAGAGCAGGGAUGAAGAGAGUCCCUAUGCUGCCUCUCUUUAUCAUAGUUAGUGACUGGCCAGCGGACUGAUCCAGAUCACAGAAUGGCUGGACCCUAAAGAACCCGCCGGCUCUGGUUCAGGGGCAGCGCUGCCCCUGGACUCCCGUAGCGCACCUUCGAGCUGCAGUUAAGUAGCCCUACUGCAGCUUGCCUGAAGUGAUCAGCUCCCGGCUUUCUAUAGUUAAGUCUUAUUACGGCAUGAUAGCAAAACUGUAUUUAUUCUAACGCCUUUCACUUUUGUAGAUGGUGGUAGUUUUAGACCGGCUUUUGUAGAUACAGAAAGCAUCAGAGACUCUAUAUAUUUAAGCCAAAAGCUAUGUUUAUUUCCUGAUGAGAUCCUAAAUGUGUGGAAGACAUGAUGACUGUGGAGUGAUAAUGCAUUUGCUGUGUGUUUAUAACUCAAGUGCUAUAGUAUAUAUUUCAAUAUCACAUAUUCUGUACUAAUGUAAAGAACCAAAUUUUGUCUGCUAUUUUGUAAAAGUAAACUACAGAUGUCUGGAUGAGAAAAUAAACUAUGUUUUCACACAGGA